ACUGGGCGUAAAGCGCACGCAGGCGGUCUGUCAAGUCGGAUGUGAAAUCCCCGGGCUCAACCUGGGAACUGCAUUCGAAACUGGCAGGCUUGAGUCUUGUAGAGGGGGGUAGAAUUCCAGGUGUAGCGGUGAAAUGCGUAGAGAUCUGGAGGAAUACCGGUGGCGAAGGCGGCCCCCUGGACAAAGACUGACGCUCAGGUGCGAAAGCGUGGGGAGCAAACAGGAUUAGAUACCCUGGUAGUCCACGCCGUAAACGAUGUCGACUUGGAGGUUGUGCCCUUGAGGCGUGGCUUCCGGAGCUAACGCGUUAAGUCGACCGCCUGGGGAGUACGGCCGCAAGGUUAAAACUCAAAUGAAUUGACGGGGGCCCGCACAAGCGGUGGAGCAUGUGGUUUAAUUCGAUGCAACGCGAAGAACCUUACCUACUCUUGACAUCCACGAGAACUUCGGCAGAGAUGCAUUAGUGCCUUCGGGAACCAUGACACAGGUGCUGCAUGGCUGUCGUCAGCUCGUGUUGUGAAAUGUUGGGUUAAGUCCCGCAACGAGCGCAACCCUUAUCCUUUGUUCCCAGCGGUCCGGCCGGGAACUCAAAGGAGACUGCCAGUGAUAAACUGGAGGAAGGUGGGGAGGACGUCAAGUCAUCAUGGCCCUUACGACCAGGGCUACACACGUGCUACAAUGGCACAUACAAAGAGAAGCGACCUCGCGAGAGCAAGCGGACCUCAUAAACUGCUAUGUCGUAGUCCGGAUUGGAGUCUGCAACUCGACUCCAUGAAGUCGGAAUCGCUAGUAAUCCUAGAUCAGAAUGCCACGGUGAAUACGUUCCCGGGCCUUGUACACACCGCCCGUCACACCAUGGGAGUGGGUUGCAAAAGAAGUAGGUAGCUUAACCUUCGGGAGGG
This 902-nucleotide ribosomal RNA is filed under the name Enterobacter sp. RNAcentral describes it as "bacterial SSU rRNA". It matches the Rfam family "Bacterial small subunit ribosomal RNA", at positions 553 to 1450 of the family's 1533-position model. Lineage: Bacteria; Pseudomonadati; Pseudomonadota; Gammaproteobacteria; Enterobacterales; Enterobacteriaceae. The record is from RNAcentral.